RNAcentral lists this transfer RNA (72 nucleotides) under Marmota monax (woodchuck). RNAcentral's name for it is "tRNA.Ala". The record is from RNAcentral. Lineage: Eukaryota; Metazoa; Chordata; Mammalia; Rodentia; Sciuridae.
GGGGAUGUGGCUCAAGCGGUAGAGCGCUCGCCUGGCAUGUGCGCGGUGCUGGGUUCCAUCCUCAGCACCACA